UACGGAGGGUGCAAGCGUUAUCCGGAAUCACUGGGUUUAAAGGGUGCGUAGGCGGAUUUUCAAGUCAGAGGUGAAAGCUUCCCGCUCAACGGGAAAAUGGCCUUUGAUACUGUUAAUCUUGAGUACAGUUGAGGUGGGCGGAAUGUGUGGUGUAGCGGUGAAAUGCUUAGAUAUCACACAGAACACCGAUUGCGAAGGCAGCUCACUAAACUGUUACUGACGCUGAGGCACGAAAGCGUGGGGAGCAAACAGGAUUAGAUACCCUGGUAGUCCACGCCCUAAACUAUGAUCACUCGACAUGUGCGAUAUUACAGUACGUGUCCAAGCGAAAGCGUUAAGUGAUCCACCUGGGGAGUACGAUCGCAAGAUUGAA
This 373-nucleotide ribosomal RNA is filed under the name uncultured bacterium. RNAcentral's name for it is "bacterial SSU rRNA". It matches the Rfam family "Bacterial small subunit ribosomal RNA", at positions 524 to 898 of the family's 1533-position model. The record is from RNAcentral.